This 366-nucleotide ribosomal RNA is filed under the name uncultured Glomus. RNAcentral describes it as "eukaryotic LSU rRNA". The record is from RNAcentral. Lineage: Eukaryota; Fungi; Glomeromycota; Glomeromycetes; Glomerales; Glomeraceae.
UUGAAAGGGAAACGAUUGAAGUCAGUCGUACUAACGGGGAAUCAACCUUUUGAGGGUGGACUUGUGGGAUGCAGAGAGCCUUUGUCUUUCACAGCCUGCUUUUUUUGGGUGCAAUUUGUCGUAUUGUAGGUCAGCAUCGGUUUCGACCGUUAUAAAAUGACUGGAGGAAUGUAGCUUCGAUCUCGUAUUGAAGUGUUAUAGCCUUUGGUAGAUGUAACGGAUGGGAUCGAGGAUUGCAAUGAAUGCCCUCAUGGGCUAUCCGCCUGGCCUCUGACAUGUAACUCUGAUGCCGAAAGCUUGCUUAUGGUGUUAUAGUGUACGGUCAAAAGGUUAGAACGGAAUAAAUUCGUUAAGGAUGUUGACGUA